Molecule: long non-coding RNA, 562 nt
Organism: Hydra vulgaris (swiftwater hydra)
Lineage: Eukaryota; Metazoa; Cnidaria; Hydrozoa; Anthoathecata; Hydridae
Source: RefSeq, a predicted model, not a curated record
UAUAUAAGCUACUAAAAAUGAUGAUAGAAAAAGAUUUAAAUGCUAUUAGAAGAUAAGAAAAACUACUGAAGUUGCUUUUGUCAUCAUUAGAUUAUUUUCCUUAAUGUUGAAAAUGGUUUUAAAUUUGUAAAUUUGAUGUGGAAUUUACUGUAUUAAUCAUUAGUCAACAGUUAAAGAGAAGCUGAAUCUUAAUUAAGCAUUGCUGGAAAUUAACUUUUAAUUAAGGUUAUUCAAAUGAGGCGAAUGGGAAAAGCGACUCCACGGAAAGCAUUUUAAAAUAUUCUGUUAUCAUGGAACACAGGCAUUAUUUAACUCCUUGUUAUAAAUGCAUAAAAGAAUGUUUGUAGCGAGUUUGUAGCUAUUUCAUCUUAUAUAUUACUGAAAUAUUUUUGUUAACAGAAAAUAGCAGAAUGUGAAACAAUACUACUGUUGGUGACAAAAUUAGUUAUGAUGCAAGCAAAUUGAGGAUGCCAUUGGCGACAUAUUUAAACGACCCCAAGAAAUAAUAUUUUUGCUAGAUUGUAUUUAUAUAUUAAUAUUGUCAAAAAUAUUAUUCGUUUUG